Non-coding RNA from Anolis sagrei ordinatus, 1546 nucleotides. The record is from RefSeq and is a predicted model, not a curated record. NCBI's taxonomy places the organism in Eukaryota, Metazoa, Chordata, Lepidosauria, Squamata, Anolidae.
AUCAAAGGCAAACAGCAUAAGAGAAGUGACGUGUCUUGGGCGGGGGCAAGGGGAAGUGAAUAGAAGACGCUGAAAGUGGAGAAAAAAUGGCGGGCAAAGGGAAGAGAGAUGGAGAACGCAAGAAUUCAGCUUUAAGGCAAACUGUUUUCUGAACAACUCUACAGGAGAGCAUGGCCAACCUUUUCAGAAAAUGUGUAUGUCUUUUUUCUAUCAUCUGGCUAACUUCCCAUCAGGCUUUCAUAAACACUUGUGAACAUCAAAAAAAUAGGGGAUGCAAUUUGUAUGAAAAGACUGUGCAAGAAGGAGGCAGCUUAAAUGUGAGCCUGAGCAACUUUGGAAUCCUUCGUGAUGUCUGUUUUUGGAAUAGCUCAACGUCAAAAUGGGACAGCGCCUGCCAAUUUGUUGGAGAAAUCUGUGAGCCUCUCAUUCCGAAUUUCAACAUGCAUAUCUCUGUGGAAAAGGAAACUUUGGUCAUGUCGAAUAUGAAGGUAGAAAACAGCGGCUACUACAGGAUUCUGGACCUGGAUGGAGAUUGCUUGGGAAGAAAUGUCUCCGUGUUGGAUUCUUCAUCAAGGAACAGUGGGAGCCGCAAUUUUUCCAAUUGGGUAGUGAUUCUCAUUCCGCUUGUGAUUGCACUUGUGUUUUUGUGAACUUUUUUUGUGCUGCAUGUGAGCACAAAGACCUACAUGGAUUCAGCUUCCGGUUUUUUUUCCAGGAAGAAAGAAUAAAAGGGGGAAAUGGACUUACUGUAUAUAUCCAUGUAUAAGUCUAAAAGAAAUGGUCAAAAAUUAAUCCAAAAAAACUGGAUUGGCUUAUCCAGAGGCCAAUGUAAAUACUGUAUCUUUGCUCUUAUCAGAGAAGAAGCCAUCUCCUUCUCCUAGUACAUUGGAAAAAGAAAAGAGUCCGCCCCAAUUUUAUAAAUUAUGAUUUAUUGCAUAUUUGAUCCUGUGUUCUUUUUUUUCUGUGUCUGUUCAUUUUUAUAUACAAACAAUAUUUUUGCAAUGAAAAGGAAACCUGAAAGAAUCAUGUGCCUUUGUUUAAGGAUGUUUUGUUCUGAAUGUAAAACUCUAAUUGAGAGCUUCUUCCUACCUACUUUCCACAAAAUGGAGGUCAUUGUCAAAGGCUUUCAUGGCCAGAAUCACUGGGUUUCUGUGAGUUUUCCAGGCUGUAUGGCCAUGUUCCAGAAGCAUUCUCCCCUGACAUUUCGCCCACAUCUUUGGCAGGCAUCCUCAGAGGUUGAGGGGUCUGUUGGAAACUAGACAAGUGAGGUUGUAUAACUGGAAUGUCGAGGGUGGGAGAAAAAACUCUUGUCUGCUUGAGGCAAGUGUGAAUGUUGCAAAUGGCCACCUUGAUUAGCAUUUAAUGGCCUUCAAAGCCUGGCAGUUAAAAUGGUAUGAAACUGCAUUAAUUUUAGAAUGUAGAUGUACUGUUGGAAUCUGUAAGUACUUCAGUGUGACUUUAUAGUAAUCUUCUAGAGGAAGUUGGUCAUAGAGUUGCACUGGAUGGCUAGAGAUUCUCAAGGUAAAGGUAAAGGUUUCACCUUGAC